Molecule: ribosomal RNA, 509 nt
Filed under: uncultured delta proteobacterium
Lineage: Bacteria; Deltaproteobacteria
Description: bacterial SSU rRNA
Rfam family: Bacterial small subunit ribosomal RNA
Source: RNAcentral
AGAGUUUGAUCCUGGCUCAGAAUGAACGCUGGCGGCGUGCCUAACACAUGCAAGUCGAGCGAGAAAGCCACCUUCGGGUGGUGAGUAAAGCGGCGCACGGGUGAGUAACGCGUGGGUUAUCUACCUCUAGGACAGGGAUAACACUGCGAAAGCGGUGCUAAUACCUGAUAAGCUAGUCAAUUAUUAAGUGGUUGGCUAGGAAAGGGUGGCCUCUCGGAGAAGCUACCGCCUAGGGAUGAGCCUGCGUCCCAUUAGCUAGUUGGUGGGGUAAUGGCCUACCAAGGCUACGAUGGGUAGCCGGCCUGAGAGGGUGACCGGCCACACUGGGACUGGAACACGGCCCAGACUCCUACGGGAGGCAGCAGUGGGGAAUAUUGGGCAAUGGGGGAAACCCUGACCCAGCAACGCCGCGUGAGGGAAGAAGGCCUUCGGGUCGUAAACCUCUGUCAGGAGGGAAGAACCCUUGGUGGUCGAACAGGCUACCAAGCUGACGGUACCUCCAGAGGAAG